Molecule: ribosomal RNA, 1496 nt
Filed under: uncultured marine bacterium
Lineage: Bacteria
Description: 16S ribosomal RNA
Rfam family: Bacterial small subunit ribosomal RNA
Source: RNAcentral
GAGUUUGAUCAUGGCUCAGAUUGAACGCUGGCGGUAGGCUUAACACAUGCAAGUCGUGCGAGAAAGUAUCUUCGGAUAUGAGUAGAGCGGCGGACGGGUGAGUAACGCGUAGGAAUCUACCUAGUAGAAGGGGAUAGCCCGGGGAAACCCGGAUUAAUACCGUAUACCUCCUUCGGGAGAAAGAAGGCCUCUCUUUGAAGCUUUCGCUACUAGAUGAGCCUGCGUAAGAUUAGCUUGUUGGUGAGGUAAAGGCUCACCAAGGCGACGAUCUUUAGCUGGUCUGAGAGGACGAUCAGCCACAUUGGGACUGAGACACGGCCCAGACUCCUACGGGAGGCAGCAGUGGGGAAUAUUGGACAAUGGGCGCAAGCCUGAUCCAGCCAUACCGCGUGUGUGAAGAAGGCCUUCGGGUUGUAAAGCACUUUAAGCAGGGAGAAAAAGUUAUAAGCUAAUAUCUUAUAACCUUGAUGUUACCUGCAGAAUAAGCACCGGCUAAUUCCGUGCCAGCAGCCGCGGUAAUACGGAAGGUGCAAGCGUUAAUCGGAAUUACUGGGCGUAAAGCGCGCGUAGGUGGUUUGUUAAGUUGGAUGUGAAAGCCCUGGGCUCAACCUAGGAACUGCAUCCAAAACUAACUCACUAGAGUACGAUAGAGGGAGGUAGAAUUCAUAGUGUAGCGGUGGAAUGCGUAGAUAUAUGAAGAAUACCAGUGGCGAAGGCGGCCUCCUGGAUCUGUACUGACACUGAGGUGCGAAAGCGUGGGUAGCGAACAGGAUUAGAUACCCUGGUAGUCCACGCCGUAAACGAUGACAACUAGCUGUUAGAAGACUAUGUCUUUUAGUGGCGCAGCUAACGUUUUAAGUUGUCCGCCUGGGGAGUACGGUCGCAAGAUUAAAACUCAAAGGAAUUGACGGGGGCCCGCACAAGCGGUGGAUUAUGUGGAUUAAUUCGAUGCAACGCGAAAAACCUUACCUGGCCUUGACAUGUACCGAAUUUAGCAGAGAUGCUUUAGUGCUCGAAAGAGAACGGUAACACAGGUGCUGCAUGGCUGUCGUCAGCUCGUGUCGUGAGAUGUUGGGUUAAGUCCCGCAACGAGCGCAACCCUUGCCAUUAAUUGCCAUCAUUUAGUUGGGCACUUUAAUGGGACUGCCGGUGACAAACCGGAGGAAGGUGGGGAUGAUGUCAAGUCCUCAUGGCCCUUAUGGCCAGGGCUUCACACGUAAUACAAUGGUCGGUACAGAGGGACGCCAACCCGCGAGGGGGAGCCAAUCCCAGAAAGCCGAUCGUAGUCCGGAUUGUUGUCUGCAACUCGACAGCAUGAAGUCGGAAUCGCUAGUAAUCGCGGAUCAGAAUGUCGCGGUGAAUACGUUCCCGGGCCUUGUACACACCGCCCGUCACACCAUGGGAGUGGGUUUUACCAGAAGUAGUUAGUCUGACCGCAAGGGGGACGAUUACCACGGUAGGAUUCAUGACUGGGGUGAAGUCGUAACAAGGUAACC